RNAcentral lists this long non-coding RNA (216 nucleotides) under Elaeis guineensis (African oil palm). RNAcentral's name for it is "long non-coding RNA (EGUI_LNC046511)". Lineage: Eukaryota; Viridiplantae; Streptophyta; Magnoliopsida; Arecales; Arecaceae. The record is from RNAcentral.
AAGAACCUUUAUAAAUUUUUUGAUCUAUUUUUUUACUUCAUGUCUGAACUCUUUAAACUUUUUAAAGGCUUCAGACUUACGGUGCAUCAAAUACACAAACCCAUACCAUGACAAAUUAUCGAUAAAGAUUAUGAAGUAGAUAUGGCCAUCCCUUGGCCUGUACAUCGAAUGGACCACACACAUCAGUGUGCACCAGGGUUAAUAACUCAGUGGUCC